GACGAACGCUGGCGGCGUGCUUAACACAUGCAAGUCGAACGGAAAGGCCCCGUUGGGGGUGCUCGCGUGGCGAACGGGUGAGUAACACGUGAGUAACCAGCCUUUGCCUUCGUGUGAACUUCCGGCAGCUGGGUCUAAUACCGGCUAGGUAUCAUUUCCGCAUGGAGGGGGUGGGUAAGAUUGGGGGGUUUGGGAUGGACUCGCGGCUUAUCAGCUUGUUGGUGGGGUAGUGGGUUACCAAGGCUUUGACGGGUAGCCGGCCGGCGUGGGCGACCGGCCACAAUGGGACUGGGGUACGGCCCAGACUCCUACGGGGGGCAAGAGGGGGGAAUAUUGCACAAUGGGCGGGAGCCUGAUGGAGCAACGCCGCGUGCGGGAAUACGGGCUUCGGGUUGUAAACCGCUUUCAGCAGGGGCGAAGCUUGUGGUGACGGUACCUGCAGAAGAAGCACCGGCUAACUACGUG
This 465-nucleotide ribosomal RNA is filed under the name uncultured bacterium. RNAcentral describes it as "partial 16S ribosomal RNA". It matches the Rfam family "Bacterial small subunit ribosomal RNA", at positions 28 to 507 of the family's 1533-position model. The record is from RNAcentral.